Molecule: long non-coding RNA, 443 nt
Filed under: Phoenix dactylifera (date palm)
Lineage: Eukaryota; Viridiplantae; Streptophyta; Magnoliopsida; Arecales; Arecaceae
Description: long non-coding RNA (PDAC_LNC002361)
Source: RNAcentral
UUCUUUUUUGUUAAUACAGAAUUACAGAUUGUGUUAAUUAAAUUUCAACAUGUCAUCUAAAAUAAUUAAGGCAUUCGUUAAUGGGCUCCAAUAAUAGACACUUUUUUUUUUUUUUUGAUAUGAUAGGCACUGAUCCUUUCCUUUCCUCCUGAUUGGCAAUUUAUCCUGAUAAAUUAUGAUUAAUACCUUUAGAAAUUGAAACAAACACCAAGAAUCAAGUCCUGCAAUACACGAAAUUGUGGCCAUCGUACGUUGAAAACCGGUCGUAACCAGUAGACUGCUAUUUUUCCGAAGCACCUCUCAUCAACAGAUACCUGAGAUUUAUUCUUUUAAUCUAUUAAAAAGUUACAAAAAAGCAGAGUAGCUGAACCCUUGCAUAAUAUAUGAUAUAUCAUGACAUGAUAAUAAUAUAUACAUUAUUCAUACAUUAUGUAUUUUAAAAU